AAACUAUUGAUAUUCCUGGAAGUGUCACCUCCUUGUCGAAGUUCAAAUUCACCGCCACCGCUGUACAUCCGGCGAAUAUCAAGAAAUACGUGCCUACCACCUCAGCUAUCAACUUUUGAAUGAAAGGUACAGAGAUGCUUAAGAUUGAAUCUUCCUUGGUUUUGGAAGCACAAGGUGGACGGUCAUUACAAGGUGGAGGAGAAUAACAAGGAUUAUCACCCUCAACAUCCAACACAACCCCAUGCUUACCAUUAGUUCCUGAGAUCUCAUCAGCCAUGACUAGUUCUUUUGUGACUAAAAUAGACCACACACGAUCUGAUAAUAAGAAAGAGAGCAAAUAAGAGAGAAAAAGAUAUGUAUUGCUUAGUUAGAUAACUUUGUA
This 382-nucleotide unclassified non-coding RNA is filed under the name Hevea brasiliensis (rubber tree). The record is from RNAcentral. Lineage: Eukaryota; Viridiplantae; Streptophyta; Magnoliopsida; Malpighiales; Euphorbiaceae.